UGGGGAAUAUUGCACAAUGGGCGCAAGCCUGAUGCAGCCAUGCCGCGUGUAUGAAGAAGGCCUUCGGGUUGUAAAGUACUUUCAGCGUGGAGGAAGGGAGUAAAGUUAAUACCUUUGCUCAUUGACGUUACCCGCAGAAGAAGCACCGGCUAACUCCGUGCCAGCAGCCGCGGUAAUACGGAGGGUGCAAGCGUUAAUCGGAAUUACUGGGCGUAAAGCGCACGCAGGCGGUUUGUUAAGUCAGAUGUGAAAUCCCCGGGCUCAACCUGGGAACUGCAUCUGAUACUGGCAAGCUUGAGUCUCGUAGAGGGGGGUAGAAUUCCAGGUGUAGCGGUGAAAUGCGUAGAGAUCUGGAGGAAUACCGGUGGCGAAGGCGGCCCCCUGGACGAAGACUGACGCUCAGGUGCGAAAGCGUGGGGAGCAAACAGG
This 429-nucleotide ribosomal RNA is filed under the name Chloroflexota bacterium. RNAcentral describes it as "Chloroflexi bacterium partial 16S ribosomal RNA". It matches the Rfam family "Bacterial small subunit ribosomal RNA", at positions 355 to 776 of the family's 1533-position model. The record is from RNAcentral. Lineage: Bacteria; Bacillati; Chloroflexota.